CAGACCGGGACGGGCGGCGCUGAUUGGUGCAGUGAGUGAGUCUCUGGCUUUAUUUAGACCACCUUUUCUUGAUGACUGUACUUCAUGAGAGUUGAGGGCUAGGGGCAGGAGGCAGCCUGCCCCCGGGGGGAAGGAUGACAGAUGGGAAGUUCUGCUUCUGGGGCUUUGUAUGGACCAGCUUUGCGCAUCCUCCGACCGUGCUUUGAGAACGAGCACCACCAAGUGUGGAUCGUACUUCUGAGAAACUCCAGGGAAGAACAAGAGCAACCCUCAGAAGGACUGGGAAGGCUUGGAGACCAGCCGCAGCAAGCUGUAGUCCCGGCCCUGCUUUCCAUCUGCUCUGACCGUGGACGCCAGUUUCCAAGGCGAGACUGCCCUUCUGGUUGGGGAUCAGAUCCUGUCAUUGUUCUUAGGCGUUUCAACUUUAACUCCAGCCACACAAGGCAACCUUGUAGACACUCUAGUCAAAGCCAGAAGAUACUUUGAAAUCAUUUGGUCCAAACCCCCAAACUCAGACGAGAACGGCAAAGCCUAGAGAUUAACCGACUUUCCCAAGGACAUAGGAAGCUCAGGGCAGACCUGGGAUUCCCUGGGACAAGUUCCGACUGGCAUAUGGGAUGAGGAUGAGAUCAUCUGUGCUGGACCCAUCAGGCGCUCCGACUCAGGCAAAAUAGGACAAGGUCCCCGAAGGCCAAAGUGGCAGCUCUCCCAAGGUGUUCCUUCUGGGCAAGUGGGGGACACAGCCCAGCAGAGAAGCCCUGUGAGUGCCCUUCCAGCCAGGAAGAGUGUCUCUUCCAGCCAGGAACCCGGAUGCUUUCAGCUUGUAGGUUUCCGAGGGCCCUGCAAUCACUCUGCCUAAUUAUAGACUAAGUCUGCAGCUUCGUGCAAUGAAAGGGGUGAGGCUGCAGACAUGUAACUUUGCAGGAUCAGUCAGUAACUUUGUAGUAUGUAUUGGAAGGACAGAGGACAGAUAGAGAAGAAGGGAUCCGACCAAGAACAAUGACCUACAUUAUUCAUAUGAGUUGCCCCUUUGGUUCUCAUGUAGGAAGUGUUUUUAUAUUGUAGAAUCUGACUGCCUUUCUUUCUGGCUUCUUCUCUUGAGCUCUGCCAUCUUUUAGAAAGAUUUAUCUUCCAUGGCAACUCAGUCCACCAACCCCAUACUCAGUUUAAUGAGCCUCCCCGCUCCCGCCCUGUCUCCAACAUCUCUAUGGCCUCUCCACUCCAGAACU
Long non-coding RNA from Tupaia belangeri chinensis (Chinese tree shrew), 1229 nucleotides. RefSeq lists it as uncharacterized. Lineage: Eukaryota; Metazoa; Chordata; Mammalia; Scandentia; Tupaiidae. The record is from RefSeq and is a predicted model, not a curated record. The transcript is spliced from 3 exons.